GUGUAGGGAAUCCCCAUAAAUUCCGUGAUGGAAAUAACAAAACAAUUCGGUCAGACAUUUUUAAAGGAAGAAAAAGGAUAAUAUUCUGGAUUUUACUCACAAAUCCGGACGCACAAUGGAUGAGGUAGGGGAGGGAAUUUCCAGGGUGCCACUGCAGGCACCAGUAAAGAAAAGAAACCUUGGAAGGCUUCUUGUCGGUCAAAGCCAUAUUGAAUCAAGUGGAAUGUUUGGAACCAGAGUUCUCUCCCCUAAGAUGGGUGAAAUCACCUGCACAGCAAGCAACAAUAACGCCCUCAGUGGAGGGAGUUACACAACCAUGGGCAAUGGAUCAGUUGGUGUCAGCAACACCCGUGUCGCAGAUCAUUCUUACAAUGGAAUCAAGGUGUCCUCUCGCAUGCAGCUGGCUACUCCAUCCCCUGAUCAUGUGUAUCCUCUGACCUUUGCCAAUCUAGCUCAACCAGAGGAUGACACAGCCAACACUCAGAAGCUUGCCAUCGGGACAUGGCGCAGUAUGUCAGUGGAAGUUAGUGGCCAUGAUCCUUAUGAUCAGAUCUACAAACAUGGAAAAAACUUCAUCAGACCUGAAACACUCGGGAACCAGGUCCAACCUUAUACACCAGAAAAAGAAAAUGUGUCCUUGUUCCUUAAGAAAAUGCAACAGGAGAGUGAUACAAAGCUCGCCUUCAGAGGACCAAAUCUUGAGGACACAUGUUUUCGAUUUCAAGAUCCUGAAGACAUGCCUGAUGAAACGCAAGAUUUGUCUGGAUUGAUCCAUGAUAUUGACGAUGAGUUGGAGAAAGUCCCUCCAGGUCAAGAAAAGGAAGUUGAUAGGAAGGGCUUUGAAGAUUUUCAAGCUGUAAAUGGAAAACCAGAAAAUCCCAUUUUGGAAGAAACGGUCCCAGCCCUUGGAGUUCAGGUGCGUAAUGUUGGAGCAAAGCCAGUAGAGGAUUUUUCUAAACUCAACAUUGUGCUGACCUCGGGCCAUCAUCAAGGCGAAUACCAGAAGGCACUGUACAAACUCAUACUGGGUGUCAAAAACAAAUCUGGUGUAACACCAUCAUCUGUUUUCAAAGAAGGGCGCGUUCUAUUUGGAACUGAUAAAGCGUGCCAGGAAAUGUUGGACAAGAGUGAGUUCCUUCCAUCCCAUGGUACUCAUGGCGUAAUCCUGUACGAUAAGCUAAGACCACAGAAGGGGAGAUACACAGAAGAAGACUUCUCAGUAACAGAAGUUUUGGGAAGGGGAAACUUUGGCGAGGUGAAACUGUGUCAAGACAAGACUACCAAGGCCAAGUUCGUUAGGAAGCAGGUUAGGACAGAUUAUAAGAAGUCUGAGGUAGAGGUGAUGAUGUCCCUGAAGCACCAGAACAUCACUCAGUUCUACGGUGUCGUUCAGCGGGAGGGUGAUACAGAGAUCUUGAUGGAGUAUUCUGGUGUAUCCCUGCUGACAUUUGUUUUGGUACCUGCUACAAAGCACCUUGUGACGGAAGAGUUCAUCUGGAAUGUCAACCGUCAAGGCCUUUCUGCUCUUGCACACCUUGAGAUAUAUGGUAUCAUUCACCUUGAUAUCAAACCUGAGAAUAUGUGUAUCCUGGAAACUGCCACUGGUUGGACCUUAAAGCUGACUGACUUUGGGUCUGCCAAACUACCACAGGACCCGCUGACAUACAACGGCUGGACAGCGGAGUACAUGUCUCCAGAGGCCAGUAUCAGCUUUGUGAAGUCACGGUUCCCACAGUUGACCCUCAUUGACAGUGAGGACUGGGCCAUAACACCAAAGAGUGAUGUGUAUAGCUGGGGUCUCACUGUCGUGUUCAUGUACAGGAAAACACACAUACUGAUGCAUGCAUAUACAGGAGGCCAGAACAACUACAAAAACGUAGACAACCCAACUCAAAUCAAACUGCUCAUCAUAAUGUCGAUGGCACGGGACCCAGACAUGGUUCGAAGGUGCCUGAUCCCUGACGAUUGUAGCUCAGACAUGAAGAUAGUGAUGAACUGUCUGCUGGCAGGAAACCCAACACAGCGCCAUUCAGCUGCAGAAGCUGUUGCCGCAAUUGACAAAAUCAGCAGUGAUAAGCUGCUCUCCAAGGCAGACUCAUUACCAGAAUUGUUGGAAAACGAUCUGGACUGUUUCAUCUAUGACCCAUCAGAGGUGCACUCACCUGCACCAGGACCUACCAGAGUUCGUAGGACCAGUUCGGUGUCCAGUUGUGUGUCCAGUCAGGCGUCCAUCAGUAGUGUUCUGUCCUACUGUUCCAAUGCUAGUUGCUCCAAACCAAGAAGUCCUAACGGGACGGGGAAAAGUCGACGGCGAAUUGUGAAGAAGAAGCUGCGGGACAGAAUCGCAAGCCCGUACCCGAGAACUGAUAGAAUGGAAAUCCUGUCCCCUAGUACAGAGCUGGAUGGAAAUGUCCCAGACUUUGCAGCCCUUGGGUAGACAGCUGAUGAAGUGUCAUGAACAUUCGGACAAUGCUUAUUUAAUUGUAGCUUGUGUGCAUUAAACAUUUUGCUAAACAUUUUACUUAGAUUUCAGUUGCGUAUUGUAAGAGCUAUUCCAUUCUGAAUUACACCAGUUCAGUGGAUAAUAUAUAAAUUUGGUAAUAUAAAUUCUAUUAAUUUAAGUUUUGCUUGCCUUAUGUAAUGCUCAGACUUUUUUAUACAAAUUUCAGAUAAAGUCAGUAAAACCUUGCUUACUCGAACUCCUGGGGUCUUAAUGGGGUCUAGAUCAAUAGUUUAAACAAAUUGUAUUCGAUGAAUCUGGGGUUAGUUAAACUUUGUUAUGUUUCGAUCAGAUGGAAAGGUAGGAAGCUGGAGCUCUGCUCAUGUCGCGGAUAGUAGAUGAUAAAAAGUAAAAAGAAUUUCAAUAAAAACGACAACAUUUAAGAAUAUGUUAAACUGUUCAACACUGAAAGCAUACAGCCAUCGAUAAUAAGAACAGAAAUGAAGUAAAGAAACUGUAUAUUUAAAGUACACUGUACCUAUCAUUUGGGCAUAGUCUACCAUCUGUAUUUAGCCACAUUACCUUUAAUUUACAGAAUAUUAAAAAGAGAGGAACUGUUGAAUAUUUCUAAAAAGAAGAAAAUAAUUUUGAAUCCAUGUUAUUAGAAUGUUAAUUGAUAAUGAAGUUAACAGUCAAAAAGUGAUCAAAAUGAUCAUUCUAUUGGUAACGGUACAGGUACCUAAUGAUACUGCUGUUAAUCCUCUAAUAAUCUAAUGUCCAGCCGACACUUGUAUAAACGCAAUGAGUGCAAUCUGUCUGUACCUCAAGACACUUCGAUGGCAUGCAAUAGAUUUCCUGUUAACUGAAUGGAUAGGAUAGGUACUAAAGACGUGAGCAGUUGGGUAUAAUCAGAGUUUGAGGAACACAGGGUAUUCAAGCAAUAGCAGUUGAAGUAAUCCAAGGUUACUUUACAAAGAAUGUAUAAGAACACGGUCAGGGCCAAGUGACCUCUUCAUCCAAGGUUACUUUACAAAGAAUGUAUAAGAACACGGUCAGGGCCAAGUGACCUCUUCAUCCAAGGUUACUUUACAAAGAAUGUAUAAGAACACGGUCAGGGCCAAGUGACCUCUUCAUCCAAGGUUACUUU
Molecule: unclassified non-coding RNA, 3587 nt
Filed under: Mizuhopecten yessoensis (Yesso scallop)
Lineage: Eukaryota; Metazoa; Mollusca; Bivalvia; Pectinida; Pectinidae
Description: uncharacterized LOC110459463, transcript variant X1
Source: RNAcentral